AUUGAACGCUGGCGGCAUGCUUUACACAUGCAAGUCGAACGGUAACAGGGUGCUUGCACCGCUGACGAGUGGCGAACGGAUGAGUAAUGCGUCGGAACGUGCCGAGUAGUGGGGGAUAACGCAGCGAAAGUUGUGCUAAUACCGCAUACGUACUGAGGUAGAAAGUGGGGGACCUUCGGGCCUCGCGCUAUUCGAGCGGCCGACGUCUGAUUAGCUAGUAGGUGAGGUAAAGGCUCACCUAGGCGACGAUCAGUAGCGGGUCUGGGAGGAUGGGCCGCCACACUGGGACUGAGACAGGGCCCAGACUCCUACGGGAGGCAGCAGUUGGGAAUUUUGGACAAGGGGCGAAAGCCUGAUCCAGCCAUGCCGCGUGUCUGAAGAAGGCCUUCGGGUUGUAAAGGACUUUUGUCAGGGAGGAAAUCCCUAGUGCUAAUAACACUGGGGGAUGACAGUACCUGAAGAAUAAGCACCGGCUAACUACGUGCCAGCCGCCGCCGUAA
RNAcentral lists this ribosomal RNA (500 nucleotides) under uncultured bacterium. RNAcentral describes it as "partial 16S ribosomal RNA". It matches the Rfam family "Bacterial small subunit ribosomal RNA", at positions 30 to 523 of the family's 1533-position model. The record is from RNAcentral.